This 1951-nucleotide ribosomal RNA is filed under the name human gut metagenome. RNAcentral describes it as "bacterial LSU rRNA". It matches the Rfam family "Bacterial large subunit ribosomal RNA", at positions 1 to 1977 of the family's 2925-position model. The record is from RNAcentral.
UUAAGCGACUAAGCGUACACGGUGGAUGCCCUGGCAGUCAGAGGCGAUGAAGGACGUGCUAAUCUGCGAUAAGCGUCGGUAAGGUGAUAUGAACCGUUAUAACCGGCGAUUUCCGAAUGGGGAAACCCAGUGUGUUUCGACACACUAUCAUUAACUGAAUCCAUAGGUUAAUGAGGCGAACCGGGGGAACUGAAACAUCUAAGUACCCCGAGGAAAAGAAAUCAACCGAGAUUCCCCCAGUAGCGGCGAGCGAACGGGGAGCAGCCCAGAGUCUGAAUCAGCAUGUGUGUUAGUGGAAGCGUCUGGAAAGUCGCACGAUACAGGGUGAAAGUCCCGUACACAAAAGUGCAUGUGUUGUGAACUCGAAGAGUAGGGCGGGACACGUGGUAUCCUGUCUGAAUAUGGGGGGACCAUCCUCCAAGGCUAAAUACUCCUGACUGACCGAUAGUGAACCAGUACCGUGAGGGAAAGGCGAAAAGAACCCCGGCGAGGGGAGUGAAAAAGAACCUGAAACCGUGUACGUACAAGCAGUGGGAGCCUCUUUAUGGGGUGACUGCGUACCUUUUGUAUAAUGGGUCAGCGACUUAUAUUCUGUAGCAAGGUUAACCGAAUAGGGGAGCCGAAGGGAAACCGAGUCUUAACUGGGCGUUAAGUUGCAGGGUAUAGACCCGAAACCCGGUGAUCUAGCCAUGGGCAGGUUGAAGGUUGGGUAACACUAACUGGAGGACCGAACCGACUAAUGUUGAAAAAUUAGCGGAUGACUUGUGGCUGGGGGUGAAAGGCCAAUCAAACCGGGAGAUAGCUGGUUCUCCCCGAAAGCUAUUUAGGUAGCGCCUCGUGAACUCAUCUUCGGGGGUAGAGCACUGUUUCGGCUAGGGGGUCAUCCCGGCUUACCAACCCGAUGCAAACUACGAAUACCGAAGAAUGUUAUCACGGGAGACACACGGCGGGUGCUAACGUCCGUCGUGAAGAGGGAAACAACCCAGACCGCCAGCUAAGGUCCCAAAGUCAUGGUUAAGUGGGAAACGAUGUGGGAAGGCACAGACAGCCAGGAUGUUGGCUUAGAAGCAGCCAUCAUUUAAAGAAAGCGUAAUAGCUCACUGGUCGAGUCGGCCUGCGCGGAAGAUGUAACGGGGCUAAACCAUGCACCGAAGCUGCGGCAGCGACACUAUGUGUUGUUGGGUAGGGGAGCGUUCUGUAAGCCGUUGAAGGUGUGCUGUGAGGCAUGCUGGAGGUAUCAGAAGUGCGAAUGCUGACAUAAGUAACGAUAAUGCGGGUGAAAAACCCGCACGCCGGAAGACCAAGGGUUCCUGUCCAACGUUAAUCGGGGCAGGGUGAGUCGACCCCUAAGGCGAGGCCGAAAGGCGUAGUCGAUGGGAAACAGGUUAAUAUUCCUGUACUUGGUGUUACUGCGAAGGGGGGACGGAGAAGGCUAUGUUAGCCGGGCGACGGUUGUCCCGGUUUAAGCAUGUAGGCGGAGGUUCCAGGUAAAUCCGGUACCUUUUAACGCUGAGGUGUGAUGACGAGGCACUACGGUGCUGAAGUAACAAAUGCCCUGCUUCCAGGAAAAGCCUCUAAGCAUCAGGUAACACGAAAUCGUACCCCAAACCGACACAGGUGGUCAGGUAGAGAAUACCAAGGCGCUUGAGAGAACUCGGGUGAAGGAACUAGGCAAAAUGGUGCCGUAACUUCGGGAGAAGGCACGCUGAUAUGUAGGUGAAGUGAUUUACUCAUGGAGCUGAAAUCAGUCGAAGAUACCAGCUGGCUGCAACUGUUUAUUAAAAACACAGCACUGUGCAAACACGAAAGUGGACGUAUACGGUGUGACGCCUGCCCGGUGCCGGAAGGUUAAUUGAUGGGGUUAGCGGCAACGCGAAGCUCUUGAUCGAAGCCCCGGUAAACGGCGGCCGUAACUAUAACGGUCCUAAGGUAGCGAAAUUCCUUGUCGGGU